GAUGAACGCUGGCGGCAUGCCUAACACAUGCAAGUCGAUCGGUAAGGCUCUUCGGAGUACACGAGAGGCGGACGGCUGAGUAACGCGUAGGAACACACCCUGCAGUGAGGGAUAAGACACCGAAAGGUGUUCUAAUACCGCAUACGGUCUUCGGAUUAAAGCAUUUAUGCGCUGAAGGAGUGGCCUGCGUCAUAUUAGAUAGUUGGUGAGGUAAUGGCUCACCAAGUCGAUGAUGUGUAGCUGGUCUGAGAGGAUGAUCAGCCAGACUGGAACUGAGACACGGUCCAGACUCCUACGGGAGGCAGCAGUGAGGAAUAUUUCACAAUGAGCGAAAGCUUGAUGGAGCAAUGCCGCGUGCGGGAUGAAGGCCCUCGGGUUGUAAACUGCUUUUAUAAGAGAAGAUUAUGACGGUAACUUAUGAAUAAGGGACGGCUAACUACGUG
RNAcentral lists this ribosomal RNA (443 nucleotides) under uncultured bacterium. RNAcentral describes it as "partial 16S ribosomal RNA". It matches the Rfam family "Bacterial small subunit ribosomal RNA", at positions 28 to 507 of the family's 1533-position model. The record is from RNAcentral.